UGGGACAUUAAAUAUUCUAACAAGACAUGGUGGGACAUUAUACAUUGUAACCGGACAUGGUGGGACAUUAUACAUUGUAACCAGACAUGGUGGGACAUUAUACAUUGUAACCGGACAUGGUGGGACAUUAUACAUUGUAACCAGACAUGGUGGGACAUUAUACAUUGUAACCAGACAUGGUGGGACAUUAUACAUUGUAACCGGACAUGGUGGGACAUUAUACAUUGUAACCAGACAUGGUGGGACAUUAUACAUUGUAACCGGACAUGGUGGGACAUUAUACAUUGUAACCGGACAUGGUGGGACAUUAUACAUUGUAACUGGAC
Non-coding RNA from Pelobates cultripes (western spadefoot toad), 326 nucleotides. Lineage: Eukaryota; Metazoa; Chordata; Amphibia; Anura; Pelobatidae. The record is from the annotation of a GenBank genome assembly.